Molecule: long non-coding RNA, 1238 nt
Organism: Panicum virgatum (switchgrass)
Lineage: Eukaryota; Viridiplantae; Streptophyta; Magnoliopsida; Poales; Poaceae
Exons: 2
Source: RefSeq, a predicted model, not a curated record
UAAACCCCCCUCCCCUCUCACCCCUCGUUCUAUUCUCUAAAAUUCCAAAAAAAAAUAAAAAAAAGAAGAGAGGGGUGAGAAGAAAGAAAGCGGCGAAGCCCUGCCGAAGUGCGCAUAUGUGAUCUGCAGGUAUUAACGUUUGACCUUUCAUUGUGAUUUUCUUAUGAAUCAGAUAGAAGUAAUAUUUAUAUAUUGAAAUAUUGGAUCGUAAUCUUAGAAUAAUAGUAGCUAUUAUUAUUUCAGCAUUUCGCCAUGGCUGCCUCCAAUUUUGGAGGUUUUUUCUGGACCGAAGAGAAAUCUACUAUAAUACUUGAUAUCGUGAAAGAUCUUGUGCUUAGAAAGAAGUUGGAUCCACUUGCGGAUGGUAUGAUAGAGAUGGUUAUGGCCAAAGUAUUAGGGUUUCAAGUUUGCACACUGUUUCAUGGUAUUACAACGCAAGAUCUAAAGGGACACCUGCUAGAACGCCGUAAGGUUUACAUGCGUAUAUGUGAACUUGCGAAUCAUCCUAAUGUUAUUGGAUUCUUAUAAAGUACUUCUAAGAUAUGGAUGCGGCCAGAGGUGUAUGAGAUACACAUUAAGGAUUUUCCUGGGGACACGGAGUUGAUUAACAAAUCAAUACCCAAUUUCCGUAAAUUGGUAUUAAUCUUCGGUGGCCCUAUGUCUCAAACUAGACGAAGGAGGUGCCGAAGAUCGUCGGGUAAUUCAAUUUUGCGUCCGCAUGAAUAGAGAUCCGGAUGUUCAUCAAGUCAUACUGCACCACCAGCAUCACGAACUUCUGUUAACCUCGACGACGACCAAGAUGACUUCAUGCCACCCAAACCAUGGCUCCAAGACCUGAUCAGCGAACCGGAGGUUCGUCCAGUCGUACUCGACCACCUGCAGCACCAUCUUGUGUUACCUGGGACGACGAUGAUGAUUUCAUGCCCCCCAAACCUUGGCUUCCAAGACCUGAUCAGGGAACCAGAGGUUCGUCCAGUCGUAACGCACCACCUUCAGCACCAUCUUGUGUUAACUGGGAUGACGACGAUGAUGAUUUUAUGCCCCCCAAACCUUGGCCUCCAAGAUAGGAUCUGAGAACCGGAGAUUCGUCCAAGUCUUCAAACUCUCGUGCAGCACCACCCUAUGAGAACUCGGAUGACGAUGUAGAUGAUUUCAUGACAUGAUCUAUGAUAUGUGUUGUACUGAACAUGGAAGUUUGCAUUUGUUGUGUAUAAAUAAAUGUUAGUUUAUGGUUUCAA